CAAUAUCAGGAAAAUCAAGAAACUAUGCAACUCGUGCAAGAUAUCUUCGAACAAUUGCGAAUAUUACCCGUAAUGGCUUUAUAUACACAGUAUAAACCUGUUGAGGUUUUCGAGUUUCCAGUAUGAACGUCUAACUGGGACAAUAACUGCUCGCUGGAAUCUUGCCUUUCAUAUUAACAUUAUGAUUUAGCGAGAUAUGAUGGUUUCAUUUAAAAAGAAAACAAUUAUAGUGAGCUAUUGUAUGUUCAAAUGGUUAAUGGGUGAUGAAGACGUCGCCCGGGCGAUGAAUAUGCACACACAGAACAGAAGGAUCAGUAAACCUGAAUUUCUGUAAUGAGGUAGUCCUUCCUUGUAACAAAGUGUGGCCUAUGUCCACUGUUGGAUGUACACGGUCAAUGAGAAAUCCGCGCUCACUGACGUUAUUCGACUAUUAAACUUCUAUAAAUGGAAAGGAUCACAGUGGAAAGUCAGCACGGCUGCACAUGAUGGUGGUCGCAGGAUUUACCUAUAAAAACGACAGAUAUCAGCGGGAACAAGAAAGAACUGCUGGGUGUUCUUCACAAUGUUUUGGAGAAACUUCAGAAGAAGAGGAUGAGUAAUUGGGAUAGGAAGCCGAGUCGACUUCCUGUGGUGGCCUUUGUUCAGUGAAAAGGGGACCCCGGUUUGGCCAACUAUGCGACUGUCCACGAAGGUCAAAAUGCAACCAUUUCUUCCUCAAAUGUUUAU
This is a long non-coding RNA of Paramormyrops kingsleyae, 726 nucleotides long. RefSeq lists it as uncharacterized. NCBI's taxonomy places the organism in Eukaryota, Metazoa, Chordata, Actinopteri, Osteoglossiformes, Mormyridae. The record is from RefSeq and is a predicted model, not a curated record.